UUGAACGCUGGCGGCAGGCCUAACCCAUGCCAGUCGAACGGUAACAGGAAGAAGCUUGCUUCUUUGCUGACGAGUGGCGGACGGGUGAGUAAUGUCUGGGAAACUGCCUGAUGGAGGGGGAUAACUACUGGAAACGGUAGCUAAUACCGCAUAACGUCGCAAGACCAAAGAGGGGGACCUUCGGGCCUCUUGCCAUCGGAUGUGCCCAGAUGGGAUUAGCUAGUAGGUGGGGUAACGGCUCACCUAGGCGACGAUCCCUAGCUGGUCUGAGAGGAUGACCAGCCACACUGGAACCGAGACACGGUCCAGACUCCUACGGGAGGCAGCAGUGGGGAAUAUUGCACAAUGGGCGCAAGCCUGAUGCAGCCAUGCCGCGUGUAUGAAGAAGGCCUUCGGGUUGUAAAGUACUUUCAGCGGGGAGGAAGGGAGUAAAGUUAAUACCUUUGCUCAUUGACGUUACCCGCAGAAGAAGCACCGGCUAACUCCGUG
Molecule: ribosomal RNA, 489 nt
Filed under: uncultured bacterium
Lineage: Bacteria
Description: partial 16S ribosomal RNA
Rfam family: Bacterial small subunit ribosomal RNA
Source: RNAcentral